RNAcentral lists this ribosomal RNA (253 nucleotides) under uncultured bacterium. RNAcentral describes it as "partial 16S ribosomal RNA". It matches the Rfam family "Bacterial small subunit ribosomal RNA", at positions 524 to 776 of the family's 1533-position model. The record is from RNAcentral.
UACGUAGGGUGCAAGCGUUGUCCGGAAUUAUUGGGCGUAAAGAGCUCGUAGGCGGUUUGUCGCGUCGAAUGUGAAAACCCGGGGCUCAACCCCGGGCCUGCAUUCGAUACGGGCAGACUAGAGUUCGGUAGGGGAGUCUGGAAUUCCUGGUGUAGCGGUGAAAUGCGCAGAUAUCAGGAGGAACACCGGUGGCGAAGGCGGGACUCUGGGCCGAUACUGACGCUGAGGCGCGAAAGCUAGGGUAGCAAACGGG